GAAGACCCUAUGAAGCUUUAGAUAAAAGGUAGAUCAAACUACAACAUCCCCAAAACAAAGGGCUGAACCAAAUGAUUUCUACCCUAAUGUCUUUGGUUGGGGUGACCGCGGGGAAAUAAAAAACCCCCAUGUGGAACGGGAGUAUUACUCCUUUAACUAAGAGCAACAGCUCUAAUAAACAGAAUUUUUGACCAAUAAGAUCGCAACGCCGAUCAACGGACCGAGUUACUCUAGGGAUAACAGCGCAAUCCUCUUUUAGAGACCAUAUCAACAAGAGGGUUUACGACCUCGAUGUUGGAUCAGGACAUCCUAUUGGUGCAGCCGCUAUUAAGGGUUCGUUUGUU
RNAcentral lists this ribosomal RNA (344 nucleotides) under Pseudaphritis urvillii (congolli). RNAcentral's name for it is "partial 16S ribosomal RNA". It matches the Rfam family "Bacterial large subunit ribosomal RNA", at positions 2085 to 2581 of the family's 2925-position model. Lineage: Eukaryota; Metazoa; Chordata; Actinopteri; Perciformes; Pseudaphritidae. The record is from RNAcentral.